Molecule: ribosomal RNA, 424 nt
Filed under: Malacoplasma sp.
Lineage: Bacteria; Bacillati; Mycoplasmatota; Mycoplasmoidales; Mycoplasmoidaceae
Description: partial 23S ribosomal RNA
Rfam family: Bacterial large subunit ribosomal RNA
Source: RNAcentral
GUGCCCAAGAGUUCAUAUCGACGGCACUGUUUGGCACCUCGAUGUCGACUCAUCGCAUCCUGGGGCUGAAGCAGGUCCCAAGGGUUCGGCUGUUCGCCGAUUAAAGAGAUACGUGAGUUGGGUUCAAACCGUCGUGAGACAGGUUGGUUUUUAUCUACCGUGCCCGCAAGAAGAUUGAGAAGAGCUGCUCUUAGUACGAGAGGACCGGAGUGGAGAUACCUCUAGUGUUCCAGUUGUCGUGCCAACGGCACAGCUGGGUAGCUACGUAUCUGAUGGAUAAACGCUGAAAGCAUCUAAGCGUGAAACUAACUUCAAGACUAAUCUUCUAUUAGAAUCGUUGUAGACUACGACGUUGAUAGGUUAGGUGUGUAAGUAUGGUGACAUAUUUAGCUAACUAAUACUAAUAAUUCGAAAACUUAUUUUU